AAACUAACAAGGAUUCCCCUAGUAACGGCGAGUGAACCGGGAAGAGCUCAAAUUUGAAAUCUGACUUUCGGGUCCGAGUUGUAAUCUAUAGAGGCGUUUUCCGCGCUGGAUCGUGUCCAAGUCUCUUGGAACAGAGUAUCAAAGAGGGUGAUAAUCCCGUACUUAACACGACCACCAGUGCUAUGUGAUACGUCUUCUACGAGUCGAGUUGUUUGGGAAUGCAGCUCAAAAUGGGUGGUAAAUUCCAUCUAAAGCUAAAUAUUGGCGAGAGACCGAUAGCGAACAAGUACCGUGAGGGAAAGAUGAAAAGCACUUUGGAAAGAGAGUUAAACAGUACGUGAAAUUGUUGAAAGGGAAACGAUUGAAGUCAGUCGUGUUCAUUGGACUCAGCCGGUUCUGCCGGUCUACUUCCUUUGAACGGGUCAACAUCAGUUUCGUCUGGUGGAUAAGGGCAGGAGGAAUGUGGCACCCUCGGGUGUGUUAUAGCCUCUUGUCGCAUACACUGGGUGAGACUGAGGAAUGCAGCUUGCCUUUUGGCCGGGGUUCGCCCACGUACAAGCUUAGGAUGUUGACAUAAUGGCUUUAAACGACC
RNAcentral lists this ribosomal RNA (592 nucleotides) under Bullera sp. TY-255. Its description in RNAcentral is "eukaryotic LSU rRNA". It matches the Rfam family "Eukaryotic large subunit ribosomal RNA", at positions 62 to 649 of the family's 3401-position model. The record is from RNAcentral. Lineage: Eukaryota; Fungi; Basidiomycota; Tremellomycetes; Tremellales; Bulleraceae.